RNAcentral lists this ribosomal RNA (2910 nucleotides) under Spiroplasma monobiae MQ-1. RNAcentral's name for it is "bacterial LSU rRNA". It matches the Rfam family "Bacterial large subunit ribosomal RNA". The record is from RNAcentral. Lineage: Bacteria; Bacillati; Mycoplasmatota; Mollicutes; Entomoplasmatales; Spiroplasmataceae.
GAAAGUAUAGUAAGGGCGUAUGGUGAAUGCCUUGGAAAAUGGAGCCGAUGAAGGACGCGACUACCUGCGAAAAGCGCCGGGGAGCUGGAAGUAAGCUUUGAUCCGACGAUGUCCGAAUGGGGAAACCCAGCACGAUUAAUCUCGUGUUAUCCAUAACUGAAUACAUAGGUUAUGUGAAGGGAACCUUGGGAACUGAAACAUCUUAGUACCAAGAGGAAAAGAAAACGAAUGUGAUUCUGUCAGUAGCGGCGAGCGAAAGCGGAACAGGCCAAACCGGUCUACGGGCCGGGGUUGUAGGACUCAUGUUAGAGUUACAAAGUUAGUGUAUAGCAGAAGCUGUUGGGAAGCAGCGCCGCAGAGGGUGAUAGCCCCGUAUGCGAAAUGCACUAACCUCGAGUGAGUAUCCUGAGUACGGCGGGGCACGAGAAACCCUGUCGGAAUCUACCCAGACCACUGGGUAAGCCUAAAUACUACCAUUUUACCGAUAGUGAACCAGUACCGUGAGGGAAAGGUGAAAAGUACCCCGAGAGGGGAGUGAAAUAGUUCCUGAAACCAUACGCUUACAAGAAGUCAGAGCCCGUUAAUGGGUGAUGGCGUGCUUUUUGUAGAAAGAGCCGGCGAGUUACGAUAUCGUGCAAGGUUAAGUGGAAUCCACGGAGCCGUAGUGAAAGCGAGCCUUAAUAGGGCGUUUAGUACGAUGUCGUAGACACGAAACCAGGUGAUCUAGCCAUGAGCAGGUUGAAGUUAGGGUAAAACCUAAUGGAGGACCGAACCAACGUUCGUUGAAAAGACCGUGGAUGACUUGUGGCUAGGGGUGAAAUUCCAAUCGAACCUGGAGAUAGCUAGUUCUCCCCGAUAUAGCUUUAAGGCUAGCGUCGAGGUAAAGGAUUAUGGAGGUAGAGCUCUGAAUGUGUGAUGGCCCCACCUAGGGGUACUGAUCACAAUUAAACUGCGAAUGCCAUAAUUUCAUACUCGGCAGUCAGAACAUGGGUGAUAAGGUCCAUGCUCGUGAGGGAAACAGCCCAGAUCAACAACUAAGGUCCCUAAAUUUACGCUAAGUGUGUAAGGAUGUGGAAGUGCACAGACAGCUAGGAUGUUGGCUUAGAAGCAGCCAUCAUUUAAAGAGUGCGUAACAGCUCACUAGUCGAGUGCUUCUGCGCCGAAAAUGUACCGGGGCUUAAGCGUAGUACCGAAGUUUUGGAUUUGGUAGCAAUACCAAGUGGUAGGGGAGCGUUCUAAUUGCGAUGAAGUUCGACCGUGAGGACGUGUGGAGCGAUUAGAAGUGAUUAUGCCGGCAUGAGUAACGUUUGGAAGUGAGAAUCUUCCAUGCCGUUUGACCAAGGUUUCCUGGGCAAGGUUCGUCCACCCAGGGUUAGUCAGGACCUAAGGCGAGGCCGAAAGGCGUAGUCGAUGGACAACAGGUUGAUAUUCCUGUACCACCUAAUAAAGUGAUGGAGUGACGGAGAAGGAUAGUGAAUGCCAGCUGUUGGAUAUGCUGGUCUAAGCGCAAAGAGGUGUACGUUGGCAAAUCCGCGUACUGUAACCUUGAAGCGUUAUGGGGAGUGAAAGCUUAGGCAAGUAGCGAAGUUCAUGACUCCACGCUUCCAAGAAAAGCUUCUAGCGUUAAUUUAUUAGGUGCCUGUACCUAGAACGAACACACGUGGUCAAGGAGAGAAUCCUAAGGCAAGCGAGAUAACUAUAGCUAAGGAACUCUGCAAAAUCACCCCGUAAGUUAGCGAGAAGGGGUGCUCACUUUAUGUGAGCCGCAGUGAAGAGGAAGGGGCAACUGUUUAGCAAAAACACAGCUCUCUGCAAAGUCGUAAGACGAAGUAUAGGGGGUGACGCCUGCCCAGUGCCGGAAGGUUAAGAGGAGAUGUUAGCUUCGGUGAAGCAUCGAAUUGAAGCCCCGGUGAACGGCGGCCGUAACUAUAACGGUCCUAAGGUAGCGAAAUUCCUUGUCAGGUAAGUUCUGACCCGCACGAAAGGCGUAAUGAUCCCUUCGCUGUCUCGGCUAUAGACUCGGUGAAAUUUUAGUACCAGUGAAGAUGCUGGUUACCCGCAACUAGACGGAAAGACCCCGUGGAGCUUUACUAUAACUUAAUAUUGAAUCUUGGUGUAACAUGUAGAGGAUAGGUGGGAGACUUUGAAGCGAUCACGCUAGUGGUCGUGGAGUCAUCCUUGGAAUACCACCCUUGUUACAUUGAGGUUCUAACCUAGACCCGUUAUCCGGGCCAGGGACAGUGUUUGGUGGGUAGUUUGACUGGGGCGGUCGCCUCCUAAAAUGUAACGGAGGCGCUCAAAGGUACCCUCAGUACGGUUGGAAAUCGUACGAAGAGCGCAAAGGUAUAAGGGUGCUUAACUGCGAGACUUACAAGUCGAACAGAUGCGAAAGCAGGACUUAGUGAUCCGGCGGUCCCGUGUGGAAGGGCCGUCGCUCAACGGAUAAAAGUUACCCCGGGGAUAACAGGCUGAUCUCCCCCAAGAGUUCACAUCGACGGGGAGGUUUGGCACCUCGAUGUCGGCUCAUCGCAUCCUGGAGCUGUAGUCGGUUCCAAGGGUUGGGCUGUUCGCCCAUUAAAGCGGUACGCGAGCUGGGUUCAGAACGUCGUGAGACAGUUUGGUCCCUAUCUGUUGUGGGCGUAGGAAAAUUGAGAAGAGCUGUUCCUAGUACGAGAGGACCGGAAUGGACGCACCCCUGGUGCUCCUGUUGUCACGCCAGUGGCACAGCAGGGUAGCUAUGUGCGGAAAGGAUAAUCGCUGAAGGCAUCUAAGCGAGAAGCCUCCUUCAAGAUGAGUUUUCCCAUUCUUCGGAAGUAAGAUCCCAUGUAGACCACAUGGUUGAUAGGUUGGGUGUGUACGCACGGCGACGUGUUUAGCUAACCAAUACUAAUAGAUCGAGGUCUUUCAAAG